This is a long non-coding RNA of Hypanus sabinus (Atlantic stingray), 4751 nucleotides long. RefSeq lists it as uncharacterized. The transcript has 3 exons. NCBI's taxonomy places the organism in Eukaryota, Metazoa, Chordata, Chondrichthyes, Myliobatiformes, Dasyatidae. The record is from RefSeq and is a predicted model, not a curated record.
ACGGCGACGCGAAGAUGGCCGAACGACUCAUUGAAUCAGGGCCAAGACCUACAUGGCUGGCAAAGUCCCUUCCGGACCAAGGCAGUCUUGAGAGGCACUUUGUUUCACAGAAAUCCCCUGCACGCACAUCUUUCUGUGUCUGCGUUUUUGAGGAUAAUGGGAUCAUCUUUGAGUCCAGGGUCCACUUUGCUUUGUAGACAUUCGUGCACCCCGUUUUUUUGCAGUACGUUGUAUUUUUUUUGGAGAAGACUGUGAUCAUCUUUGAAUCUUUUCACCUGGAAAUAAUUUAUUUAGGAUCUGGUGUUUUCCGAUUCGACAAUUUUGGCGCAGUCGGCAAGAAUGAUGAUGAAAAAGAGUUUGAAAAUACUUAAAACAGCGAAGGAACUUUGAGUGGGCACUUAAUAGGAGGCAAGAACAUCCUCCGUCCCUGAAUUGUCGGAUAAAUCGUCUGAUUCUGCCUUCUUAUUCCAUCUGAAGGAAGUUUUAAGAGGUUCUUUCAAAGACCCUGACCCGAAGUUGCACACUGACUUCGGUUCUUUACAGGAAUGGGACCCACUUGAGUGCUCGGUGCUGUGAGGAUUCCAAUCAAGAAUGGCCAACUAGUACGAGAACAUAUGAAAGUCAUACAACUACAGUCAGAAGUUGAUGUAUUAAAAUGUAGUGGUCACACCAAAAUCACUCACAUGAGAAGCCAUGCAAGUGCAGUCACAGACGAAACUGUGAAAAGGGCAGCAGGGGAAGGAAUAAAGAAAUAGAAAAAAACCCGAUAACUGAAACUAUAGAAACAAAGAUGAACUCCAUAUCAUGGACGAACAUACAAGGUAUUUGAAAAAUGCAAAAUCAAUGGACUGACCAAGAGAAGAUAUCCUGGUUAGAAAAUGAUGAUGGAGUAUGGAGAUUUGGCACUAGUCACAGACUAGUAGCCCCAACAGGACUGCUUCCUUAACUGGCACAGCAGAUACACUCCCUAGGACGCACUGGAGUGCGAAGGAUGAUUGACAGAUUCUCCCAGUGGUGGUGGAAUCCAAAUUUCAGGAUGCAAGCUCGACGAACAGUUGAGAGAUGCAUGGCGUGCCAGAAAGCAAACCGUGGAUCAUUUACCUCAACUAAGUACUCCUGCCCAUCUGGUCCAUUUUUACAUCUACAAAUGGACUACAUUGCUCUACCAAAGUACCAAGGAUAUUCAGAUAUCCUAGUAAUAGUGGAUAAAUCAUGGACGGUCAAUCAUGGAAAACCCUGAACAUCCUCUGCACAGCACCAUCCAGAGACAGAGAAGCAGCUUCAGCGGCAGGUUGCUGUCAAUGCAAUGCUCCUCAGACAGGAUGAGGAGAUCAUUACUCCCCAACGCCAUUCGGCUCUACAAUUCAACCACCAGGGGCAAUACAUGUUAAAGUGCCGGGGUUAGGACUGAGAUUAAGUUACCACUCAAUGCACUUUAGUAAACUAUUUAAGAACUUUUUAAAAGCUAUUUAUUAAUGCUUUUUGGGAGGGUGAUUUUAGAUGCAUAUCAUAUUUUAAAUACUAUAUGUAAUUAGUUUUGCUACAAUAAGUGUAUGGGACUCUGGAAAAAUGUUGAAUUUCCCCUUGGGGAUGAAUAAAGUAUCUAUCUAUCUAAAUGUUCAAGAUGGGUGUAAGCCAUCCCGGCAAGAAAAGCUACUGCCACACUCACAGGCAAAGCUCUGAUUAAGGACUCUAUUCCUUGAUGUGGUUUGCCAUGCCACACUGACUCUGACUAAGGAACACAUUACACUGGAAAUGUUUGUCAAGAAUCAUGUCGACUGAUGAACAUUGAUUGGUUUUUUCACUGUCCACAUCAUCCAGAGUCGUUAUGACAAGCUGAAAGAAUAAAUGGCAUCAUCAAGCAAUGACUAAGUAUCACGAAGAAAGCAUACCGUGGCCUGCAGCUCUUCCUUUUAUUUUGUGUAGCAUCAAAGCAAACCCAAACAAGAAAACAAAACUGAGUCCAUUGGAGUGGUAACAGCCUCCUACAUCACUUCUGGGAGCCCUCAAUCUCAGCGAGACUGAUAUACACAUUAUGGCAGAUAGCUUAGUUGACUAUUAGAAACGUAGAAAACUUAUAGCACAAUACAGGCCCUUUGGCCCACAAUGCUGUGCCGAACAUGCACUUAAUUUAGAAAUUACCUAGGGUUACCCAUAACCCUCUAUUUUUUAAGCUCCAUGUACCUGUCCAGGAGUCUCUUAAAAGACCCUAUCGUAUCCGUCUCCACCACCAUCACCGGCAGCUCAUUCCACACACUCACCACUCUCUAUGUAAAAAAAAACAACUCACCCCUGAUAUCUCUUCUGUACCUAUUUCCAAGCACCUUAAAACUGUGCCCUCUCAUGUUAGCCAUUUCAGCCCUGGGAAGAAGCCUCUGACUAUCCAUACGAUCAAUGCCUCUCACCAUCUUAUACACCUCUAAGAGGUCACCUCUCAUCCUUUGUCACUCCAAGGAGAAGAGGAUGAGUUCACUCAACCUAUUCUCAAAGGCAUUCUCCCCAAUCCAGGCAACAUCCUUGUAAAUGUCUGCUGCACCCUACGGUUAAUGAAGGCCAAUGUACCGUAUGCCUUCUUAACCACAGAGUCAACCUGCGCAGCAGCUUUGAGUGUCCUAUGGACUCGGACCCCAAGAUCCCUCUGAUACCCCAUACUGCCAAGAGUCUUACCAAGAAUCUUACUGUGUGAAAUUAACCCAAGCUGUUCAGUCUGCUUCUCAUAGGGUGGAGUGGCCCACUGGGAGGAGGGCACACUGAUUCUUGGCGAGUGGGUCUUAGUUAAGAAAUCACAUAAGGAACCACUGGAAGCUCAGGGGGAAGGCCCUUACCAAGUACUAUUGAUUACCGAUUUGACAGUCAAGGUAGAUGGUAAGAGUAAGUGGACACAUGCCAGCCACUACAAGCAAGCUAAAGUGACAUCAUAUUAAGAUAAGUGCUGUGAGAUGACUUCAAGCAAAUUGAUAAUUAUUGGAUAUUAUGGAUUUUAUUUUGCAGUUUGCUCUUGUUAUGCGUCCUACUUCCACUACUCAUGAUGUGCCAGUUGAAAUGACACAUAAUGUAUAUUUAUGGGUAUUGCAUGAAUAUGCAGGUGCUUUUAAUGAUUUGGAUUGUUGGCUAUGUCUAUACAUACCACACACUUGAAAGUAUUCACCAAUGCUAGGCAUUCCUGCAUAUCCAGAGGAAGUAGGUUCCCUCUUCAGAAAACAUUCAGUGAUAGUGAUGUAGAUACUUUACCUGCAGUUCAUCAUUCUGACAAGGGAUGUGAAUAUAUAAUCGCCAUAUCCCCCCACAUAUCGUCUCAAACUGAGUCAUUGAUAUGAAUAUGAUCAACAUGACUUGAGAAACGACGCAUCUGACCUUAUCCGUAUUUAGCCCCAGAUAACCAUCUCUGUUCUUUUCAAAGCUAAUCAUGUACUUAGCAUAAAAGUUGCUCUAUGCCCGAGUUCAGAAGCUGCCAUUCCAGUAGAGCACAGCUUGUGAAAUCAUACUCUAUAUUAUCAGAAAUGGUCUAAGUUCAUGGAACACCACAUUCUGUGCAGAAGUGGUGCCUAUGCAUUUUUCUCACAUAAUUGGUUAGAAUCUUGGUAUCUAGGGUAUGUUUUCCCUGCCAUGAGGUGCUCGUACACACAGACACAGACACACACACACACACACACCCACACCCACACCCACACCCACACCCACACCCACCCACCCACCCUUACCUGUACCAUCCGAGUCUAGAAAGAAAUCAGCCAUUUCAAAUGGAGAACACUUUGCAGCUAUCCUAUUUCCACCCUAUGGGGUUGCAAGAAGUACAAGAGAGAUUACAAAAGUUUCCAAAGCAUUAGAAAAGGUGAGCAAUGACAUUGCUGACACCUUAACAAUGAAAAUGGUUAGUAUGCACAAAUUGGUUCUUCAGAAGCAUGUGGCAUUAGAUCUCCUGGUAGGGAGGGAAGGGGGACAUGCGCACUUAUAAAUAAGGAAUGUUGCACCUAGGUACGUGACUACUCCAAAGGCAUAACUAAUCUGACUGACCACAUUUGUAAUGAAGUUGCUAAUCUACAUCAAACUGAUGAAUGAGAUUUCUUUAAUUGAAUUCAUUUCAGUCUUGGAUGCUGGAGUUACCAAAUAUUAAAAGUCAUAAUAGUUAUAUUAAUAUGUAUGGUCAUAAUCUACAUUUUUUGUGUUUGUUUGAAGGUGAUCAUGACAUAAUACUAUACAUGCUUUGAAGAACAUGUGUAUUUUCUUUGAUAAUAUACAACUGAAAUAGUUUUUGAUUACUCUGUAAUAUAGAUACUUUAAAGUUUUCCUGCUUCUAAAUUUUCAGACAUAGUGAUUCAAAUUGUGUUUUAGAAUCAAACGGUGGGUGGAGGCAGUUUCAUGGGAAUUGGUUGUUCUUUAUGUUUUUAAUAAGGUUUUAAUUGAAUUAAUGAGUUUUUAGCAAAACUGAAUUUGUAGUUUCACUAACAUAUGACUUCUAUUUUUCACAAUAUUUGAUGUUAGACGCCACCUCCUGGUGGCAAAAUGAUAUAACUGUUUAUCGUUUUUCAAUUUGUUCAUUGGCUAAGUGUUAAACAUGCUAUUCCUGUAUGUCUUCCAAUAGGCCCUCCCUUAUCUUAGGGAUUUGCCUUAGCUAAGUAUAGAAGUGUCUGUUUCUACAAAAAUUUCCUUUCUAGUUCUUGGUUCUUUAUUUUCUGCCCAUCUCUUAGUAGUAAAACAAUUGCCAUGUGAUCUGUGCCUGUUCCUUUGUUUUAAACUUUCAAUAAAUAAUU